This 456-nucleotide ribosomal RNA is filed under the name uncultured bacterium. RNAcentral's name for it is "bacterial SSU rRNA". It matches the Rfam family "Bacterial small subunit ribosomal RNA", at positions 340 to 786 of the family's 1533-position model. The record is from RNAcentral.
UACGGAAGGCAGCAGUGGGGAAUAUUGCACAAUGGGCGAAAGCCUGAUGCAGCUAUGCCGCGUGUAUGAAGAAGGCCUUAGGGUUGUAAAGUACUUUCAUCGGGGAGGAAAAAACAAAACUAAUAAUUUUAUUUCUUGACGUUACCCGAAAAAGAAGCACCGGCUAACUCCGUGCCAGCAGCCGCGGUAAUACGGAGGGUGCUAGCGUUAAUCAGAAUUACUGGGCGUAAAGAGCACGUAGGUGGUUUUUUAAGUCAGAUGUGAAAUCCCUGGGCUUAACCUAGGAACUGCAUUUUGAAACUGAAAAUACUAGAGUAUCGUAGAGGGAGGUAGAAUUCUAGGUGUAGCGGUGAAAUGCGUAGAUAUCUGGAGGAAUACCUGUGGCGAAAGCGGCCUCCUAAACGAAUACUGACACUGAGGUGCGAAAGCGUGGGGAGCAAACAGGGAUUAGAUACC